AGAUGCUAAUACCGCAUAACAACUUGGACCGCAUGGUCCGAGCUUGAAAGAUGGCUUCGGCUAUCACUUUUGGAUGGUCCCGCGGCGUAUUAGCUAGAUGGUGGGGUAACGGCUCACCAUGGCAAUGAUACGUAGCCGACCUGAGAGGGUAAUCGGCCACAUUGGGACUGAGACACGGCCCAAACUCCUACGGGAGGCAGCAGUAGGGAAUCUUCCACAAUGGACGAAAGUCUGAUGGAGCAACGCCGCGUGAGUGAAGAAGGGUUUCGGCUCGUAAAACUCUGUUGUUAAAGAAGAACAUAUCUGAGAGUAACUGUUCAGGUAUUGACGGUAUUUAACCAGAAAGCCACGGCUAACUACGUGCCAGCAGCCGCGGUAAUACGUAGGUGGCAAGCGUUGUCCGGAUUUAUUGGGCGUAAAGCGAGCGCACGCGGUUUUUUAAGUCUGAUGUGAAAGCCUUCGGCUCAACCGAAGAAGUGCAUCGGAAACUGGGAAACUUGAGUGCAGAAGAGGACAGUGGAACUCCAUGUGUAGCGGUGUAAUGCGUAGAUAUAUGUACGUACACCAGUGCCGAAGGCGGCUGUCUAGUCAGUAUCUGACGCUGAGGCUCGAAAGUAUGGGUAGCAAACAGGAUUAGAUACCCCGGUAGUCCUUUCUGUAAACGAUGCAUGCUAAGUGUUCGAGGGGGGCUGGCCUUCAGUGCAACAAAUAAAGCAUUAAGCAUUCCCCCUGGGGAGUACGGCCGCAAGGCUGAAACUCAAAGGAAUUGACGGGGGCCCGCACAAGCGGUGGAGCAUGCGGUUUAAUUCGAAGCUACGCGAAGAACCUUACACAGGUCUUGACAUACUAUGCAAAUCUAAGAGAUUAGACGUUCCCUUCGGGGACAUGGAUACAGGUGGUGCAUGGUUGUCGUCGAGCUCGCG
RNAcentral lists this ribosomal RNA (923 nucleotides) under Lactiplantibacillus plantarum. Its description in RNAcentral is "bacterial SSU rRNA". It matches the Rfam family "Bacterial small subunit ribosomal RNA", at positions 158 to 1064 of the family's 1533-position model. Lineage: Bacteria; Bacillati; Bacillota; Bacilli; Lactobacillales; Lactobacillaceae. The record is from RNAcentral.